Molecule: ribosomal RNA, 255 nt
Filed under: uncultured bacterium
Lineage: Bacteria
Description: partial 16S ribosomal RNA
Rfam family: Bacterial small subunit ribosomal RNA
Source: RNAcentral
UACGAAGGGUGCAAGCGUUACUCGGAAUUACUGGGCGUAAAGCGUGCGUAGGUGGUGAGUUAAGUCUGUCGUGAAAGCCCCGGGCUCAACCUGGGAAUGGCGAUGGAUACUGGCUCGCUAGAGUGCGGUAGAGGAGAGUGGAAUUCCCGGUGUAGAGGUGAAAUUCGUAGAUAUCGGGGAGGAACACCGGUGGCGAAGGCGGCGAUCUGGGUCGAUACUGACGCUGAGGUGCGAAAGCGUGGGGAGCAAACAGGG